GAUGAACGCUGACAGAAUGCUUAACACAUGCAAGUCAUUGGCGAAGCUGCGCUUGCGCAGUCUAGCCAAGGCGGACGGGUGAGUAACGCGUAAGGAACUUGCCCUGCAGACAGGGCUAACAGACGGAAACGACUGAUAACACCUGGUAUUGUCAGGCUGGCGCAUGACGGCCUGAUGAAAGGAGAAACUGCAGGAGAGCCUUGCGUCCUAUGAGCUAGUUGGUGGGGUAACGGCCCACCAAGGCGAUGAUAGUUAGCCGGCCUGAGGGGGGGAACGGCCACAAGGGGACGGAGAUACGGCCCUUACUCCUACGGGAGGCAGCAGUGGUGAAUAUUGGACAAUGGGGGCAACACUGAUCCAGCAAUUCUGUGUGCACGAAGAAGGUUUUCGGAUUGUAAAGUGCUUUCAGCAGGGAAGAAGAAAGUGACGGUACCUGCAGAAGAAGCGACGGCUAAAUACGUG
RNAcentral lists this ribosomal RNA (462 nucleotides) under uncultured bacterium. Its description in RNAcentral is "partial 16S ribosomal RNA". It matches the Rfam family "Bacterial small subunit ribosomal RNA", at positions 28 to 507 of the family's 1533-position model. The record is from RNAcentral.